Molecule: ribosomal RNA, 1023 nt
Filed under: Metarhizium brunneum
Lineage: Eukaryota; Fungi; Ascomycota; Sordariomycetes; Hypocreales; Clavicipitaceae
Description: SSU rRNA
Rfam family: Eukaryotic small subunit ribosomal RNA
Source: RNAcentral
UUAUACAGCGAAACUGCGAAUGGCUCAUUAUAUAAGUUAUCGUUUAUUUGAUAGUACCUUACUACUUGGAUAACCGUGGUAAUUCUAGAGCUAAUACAUGCUAAAAAUCCCGACUUCGGAAGGGAUGUAUUUAUUAGAUACAAAACCAAUGCCCCUCGGGGCUCUCUGGUGAUUCAUGAUAACUCGUCGAAUCGCACGGCCUUGCGCCGGCGAUGGUUCAUUCAAAUUUCUUCCCUAUCAACUUUCGAUGUUUGGGUAGUGGCCAAACAUGGUGGCAACGGGUAACGGAGGGUUAGGGCUCGACCCCGGAGAAGGAGCCUGAGAAACGGCUACUACAUCCAAGGAAGGCAGCAGGCGCGCAAAUUACCCAAUCCCGAUACGGGGAGGUAGUGACAAUAAAUACUGAUACAGGGCUCUUUUGGGUCUUGUAAUUGGAAUGAGUACAAUUUAAAUCCCUUAACGAGGAACAAUUGGAGGGCAAGUCUGGUGCCAGCAGCCGCGGUAAUUCCAGCUCCAAUAGCGUAUAUUAAAGUUGUUGUGGUUAAAAAGCUCGUAGUUGAAUCUUGGGCCUGGCUGGCCGGUCCGCCUCACCGCGUGUACUGGUCCGGCCGGGUCUUUCACUCUGCGGAACCACAUGCCCUUCAGUGGGUGUGGCGGGGAAGCAGGACUUUUACUUUGAAAAAAUUAGAGUGCUCUAAGCAGGCCAAUGCUCGAAUACAUUAGCAUGGAAUAAUAAAAUAGGACGCGCGGUUCUAUUUUGUUGGUUUCUAGGACCGCCGUAAUGAUGAAUAGGGACAGUCGGGGGCAUCAGUAUUCAGUUGUCAGAGGUGAAAUUCUUGGAUCUACUGAAGACUAACUACUGCGAAAGCAUUUGCCAAGGAUGUUUUCAUUAAUCAGGAACGAAAGUUAGGGGAUCGAAGACGAUCAGAUACCGUCGUAGUCUUAACCAUAAACUAUGCCGACUAGGGAUCGGACGAUGUUAUUUAGUUGACUCGUUCGGCACCUUACGAGAAAUCAAAGUGC